This 351-nucleotide ribosomal RNA is filed under the name Triticum aestivum (bread wheat). Its description in RNAcentral is "partial small subunit ribosomal RNA". The record is from RNAcentral. Lineage: Eukaryota; Viridiplantae; Streptophyta; Magnoliopsida; Poales; Poaceae.
AUGGCCAUCUUCGACGAGUUCUACGUUAGGUACAUCGACCUCGGAAGCCUCAACUAUGGGAUCAUUUCGCUCAUCCCCAAAGUGCCUGGUGCUUCCGACAUUCGCCAGUUCCGAUCGAUCACGGUUAUCAAUGUGAUCUUCCGGAUUCUGGCAAAAGGGUACGCCAAUAGGGUGCUGCUCGCCGACCACAUUACGGACCCCAACCAGUAUGCCUUCAUUCAAGGGCGAUAUAUCCUGGAUGGGGUGCUAGUCCUCCAUGAAGUCCUCCAUGAGGUCCGGUCUAAACACCUCAGGGCGGUCUUCCUGAAGAUCGAUUUCCAUAAGGCGUACGACACUGUUAGUUGGCCCUUC